GGUCCCGUAGCUCAGUUGGAUAGAGCAACAGCCUUCUAAGCUGUGGGUCAGAGGUUCGAAUCCUCUCGGGAUCACCA
This 77-nucleotide transfer RNA is filed under the name Alphaproteobacteria bacterium. RNAcentral's name for it is "tRNA-Arg". It matches the Rfam family "tRNA". Rfam says of the family: Transfer RNA (tRNA) molecules are approximately 80 nucleotides in length. The record is from RNAcentral. RNAcentral also lists the same sequence under 2 other names. Lineage: Bacteria; Pseudomonadati; Pseudomonadota; Alphaproteobacteria.